Molecule: long non-coding RNA, 1630 nt
Filed under: Oreochromis niloticus (Nile tilapia)
Lineage: Eukaryota; Metazoa; Chordata; Actinopteri; Cichliformes; Cichlidae
Description: lncRNA (ENSONIG00000024050.2)
Source: RNAcentral
AUGAAGUCCGUCAGGGUUUUUGCUGUCCUGCUUCUAGCAUCUGCCAAUGUCUUCACACAAGAAGAAAACUUAAACUUAACCACAACCACAACAAUAGCACCGGGACCGCCAACAAAUCCACCAACAACAACAAAUACGACAACAGUAAAGGCAAGAACAGCAGCACCUCCCUCUCCUCCUACAAAUAUGACCACAUCUCCUCUGGAUGGACACAUGCCUAAAGCCAAUACUACGUUAGCUACUGCUGCUGCUACUGCUGCUGCUACAUCCGCAUCCACCCAGAAUGACUCUUUGACUUCUGAACUAAUGAACAAGAAGAGCAGUGGAACUCCCACUAAUGUCUCUCAGAGUGAGCAUUCUGGUGGCCAAAGCAGAGCAGGUCAAGAUGACACCGAUCCUGACCAGGACUUAGGUAACCCUACUCCUGCCCCAGGACAACAAACCACCAGUGACUCUCAAAGCAGAUCUUCAAGGACAUUAUCACCUCCCACUAAAAGAACUGCUCAGGAGAACAGUCCCGGUUCUCAGGCGGGCCAAACAAAGGAGAAAUCAGCAGAUAAAAAGCUGUGGUGGCUUGUGUUGCCCGCCAUCCUGGCUGUAGCUGCUAUCGCCAUCGUCCUCAAAUUCAAAUCCAAGAAAGUCCACAACCCCACAGAAACCGUCGACACUGGAACUGAGAACGCAUCUUUCCAGAGAGCUGACAACAGCAAGGAUGGCGUCAUGCUCCUCGGAGUUAAGUCAUCAGGAGGAGAAGAGAACGCUGAAGCCAGAUAAGAAGAGUCACCAUCGUCGCCCACACACCGAUGGUCUGAGAAAGCUGUUUUGAUCCUAGGUCUCCUUUUUUGAAGCUGUAAUGAAAUUUUUUUUUUUUUUAAUAAAAGAGGCUUUCAAGUGUGAUUCUGUAUGCGGAGAGCAGUUUUAUGAAGUAGGGCGUGUGACUGCGAUGAUAAAUCUUAAAACAAAUGAACUUGAUCUCAAAAGUAAGGACUGCAAAGCUCAUCUAAAGAAGCUGACCCGCCACCUAUUAAAUGGCAAUGGUGACUUAUUAUUUAUGCAGCCUUUAUUUGCAUCCCGUGCAAACUACUGCCGCAACCAUGUUUCCUGUGUAGUGACCCCAGAUCCUUCACGUUAGUCUUAUCAUAAGCUUUAUAACUCUGUAAUCAUCCUUUCGUUACGUUCUUACCUGCCAUUUACUUUUUACUUGCCUUAAGCCAUUUUGCUGAUUAUGAAGGUUUGGGGUUUGUUUGAUGUGCGCUCCAUAUUUGCUGUUAGGACGACUUGUUUGCGCGUGUAACUCAGCUCACAUAGGAAUUUGCUGCAACAGAGGGUCUGUUAAAGGUUUUUGUGGGGGGUUUUCUACAAAUGUUGCACCAAAGCAUACAUAACUAAAGCAGAUGCAAAAGGCUGUUUGGAUUUAUAGACACUGGAACUGCUUAAUGCUUUGUGGCUGGAAUUUGUCAUCAUCAAUUUCCUCAAUAAAUCACUAGAAAAUGUCUUUUUUGUGCUGCCCUGUUUUUUAACAUAUGUAUACAUAUGCAUCCUCUGAGAAAUCUGAAAUAGCACCUAGGAGAUGUUCUAAAUGGAUAAUUAAAUCAUUAAAAUAAAUUAAAAGUUCUAAUUUAUAUACAUA